AUGAAAAUCUGGGGAAUUCUAAGUAAGAUCAGUAGAUUGUGUUUGGUAGAAAGUCCCGCCAUCUUUCCCCCAGGUUUCUUGCCCCCACCCUCCCCCCAGGCUUCCUGCUGCCCUGAGAAAAGCCCGCCAAGCCUGCUCUGUUCUGCCCAGCAACAACAAGCAGCCAAUCAUCGCAGCAGGAAAGCCCGCCAAGCCUCGGCCUAUCCUGAACCGACACGUAACCCUCUGAGCCACCUCAGCAGUCUGCCCAGAGACGGACAGCUUAUCCUAAGCUCCUACGACACUCCGCCAGCCCUGUGUCCACGCCCCGUCCACCCCCCCUAUAAAACCCUCCUACCCCAGCUGCGCAGUCGCAGCCAGCCCCGAUCUCCUUCCUUUCCUGGCCUGCCCGCUGGUCCCAAUAAACCUGAACUCGGCUUCCAACUCUCGAGCUGUUAUUUGGGGUCGGGUACUGGGCAGGGGUCUACAAGGGGGUUGCACAUAUGGUGCCGAAACCCGGGACGGAGGGUCGCUAGCCCCCCUAGCGACCCCCUCCCUCCAGCGACCUCCCCAGCCCUCCUCCAAUUCGGCCUCAGCACUCCGGACCAGGUAAGUCCUGUUUCUUACCUUCUCCUUCCGUGGUGCGUGUGGCAAAGGCCCUUUCUCUCAGUCCCAAUCCACGGAUCCCUCACCAAGCGCCGGCCGGCCCAAGCAGGAUCCCCCAACCAGGCUCCAGGAGCCUUGGGUCGGCAGACAAGGGAUGCCUUCUCUGACCCACCCAAUCCAAAACCAUUAAAUAGGAACGAUCAGACAGGGGACGCCUUCUCUGGUCUUUCCUAUCCACCUUCCUCUGGGGAAGCUGGUGGGUUGGAGGGACGCCUCCCCCCACACUACCCCAGCCCACUCGGAUACUGUUCCGAGCUCGGAUACUGUUCCAAGAUCCCCCUCGGCUGGCAGGAACCCUUUGCCGCACGCAUCAUGGGGAGCGUGGAGUCCAAAAUUCCUAAAAACGCCCCACUAGGUUGUUUACUUCUCGACUUUACCCGCUUGGGCUACUCCCAAAACCCUUAG
This 1050-nucleotide long non-coding RNA is filed under the name Callithrix jacchus (white-tufted-ear marmoset). RNAcentral's name for it is "lncRNA (ENSCJAG00000083346.1)". Lineage: Eukaryota; Metazoa; Chordata; Mammalia; Primates; Cebidae. The record is from RNAcentral.